ACUAGGGGUGAAGUUCUGUUUAUCCACUUGUGAAAGCCUCUGGAGGAAAGAAACAACAUCUUUUGGAGAAAGAAAGGUACUAGAUGCAAUAGCAACUCCAGUUUUAGUCAUGUCCACUUCAAUCCAUCCCUUUAUUACAUCUAAUAUGCUAAGCAACACAGAAGGUUCAGUACCCUUCUCAGACAGGUUUAGUCAUGUCCGCUUCAAUCCAUCCCUUUAUUACAUCUAAUAUGCUAAGCAACACAGAAAGGUCAGUACCCUUCUCAGACAGCAGGGAGUUGAGUAUUUGUGUUACAGAUCGUUUACAAUCUGGGAUGACCAUGACCCUUUCGUUAAUAAGGCCCAACACAGAUUUCAGGUUGGUGAUGACAACACCAACAUCAGCACCUUGACGAGAAGAUGUGACAGCAGAAUCAGGAUCUGAUCUCUGACCCUGUAAGUGGGAGUAUACCAUGACUUGUGGUCAAUAAAAUGUGCACUACAUUAAAAGAAUCUGCCUCACGUACAGUUAAGAGAAGAAUUGAGCCUACCAUGACUUGUGAUCAAUAAAAUGUGCACUACAUUAAAAGAAUCUGCCUUCACGUACAGUUAAGAGAAGAAUUGAGCAAACUCAAACUCAAGAAAAAUGCAUAAAAUCAGAUCUAAUGUUUACCAAAAGACACUCCAGAAUCAUUAAGAGUUUCAGCUAU
This 689-nucleotide long non-coding RNA is filed under the name Nicotiana benthamiana. Its description in RNAcentral is "long non-coding RNA (NBEN_LNC004381)". The record is from RNAcentral. Lineage: Eukaryota; Viridiplantae; Streptophyta; Magnoliopsida; Solanales; Solanaceae.